GCCAGCUGUUUCGUGCAAUUUAGACUAGGUACGUGAUUUUGUGCGUUUCGUACUUAAGAAAUAUAGGUCUUUUCCUUCUCUCCUGCAAAAGAAAACAGAAUAUUUGGCCAAUUUUACCCACAAACCAGAUUAAUCUAUAUGAUCUAAUUUAUAAUUUCCGUUAAGGAAACCAGGAUCUGAUGAUAUAAUCCCAGAGAAAUCGAGGAUAUCCUCGAAAAUCGUAAUGACGACUAGUGCGUUUCUUAGCUUUUUCCUUUAAUUACGUUAUAUUACUUGUCGAUAAUUAUAAUUGAAGUCGGUUUUUUUCGUUUGCGAGCAAACACAAUUGUUAGUACAAAGAGUUACAUAUGAGAUCAAAUUCGGCAACAUAUUAUAUCCCAUGAAAAAAGUCUAGAAUAUUGUUUUAAGAUAAUACGAAACACACACGUGUUUGUGAUAUUUUUAGUGCAAUUCGGUCGCAAUAGUAUGAAUUGCGCAGUACAAAGC
RNAcentral lists this unclassified non-coding RNA (486 nucleotides) under Melitaea cinxia (Glanville fritillary). RNAcentral describes it as "misc RNA ENSMCXG00005000605.1". The record is from RNAcentral. Lineage: Eukaryota; Metazoa; Arthropoda; Insecta; Lepidoptera; Nymphalidae.